Molecule: ribosomal RNA, 1447 nt
Filed under: uncultured Massilia sp.
Lineage: Bacteria; Pseudomonadati; Pseudomonadota; Betaproteobacteria; Burkholderiales; Oxalobacteraceae
Description: bacterial SSU rRNA
Rfam family: Bacterial small subunit ribosomal RNA
Source: RNAcentral
GUUUGAUCCAUGGCUCAGAAUUGAACGCUGGCGGCAUGCUUUACACAUGCAAGUCGAACGGUAACAGGGAGCUUGCUCCGCUGACGAGUGGCGAACGGGUGAGUAAUAUAUCGGAACGUACCCAAGAGUGGGGGAUAACGUAGCGAAAGUUACGCUAAUACCGCAUACGAUCUAUGGAUGAAAGCAGGGGACCUUCGGGCCUUGUGCUCCUGGAGCGGCCGAUAUCUGAUUAGCUAGUUGGUGAGGUAAAGGCUCACCAAGGCGACGAUCAGUAGCUGGUCUGAGAGGACGACCAGCCACACUGGAACUGAGACACGGUCCAGACUCCUACGGGAGGCAGCAGUGGGGAAUUUUGGACAAUGGGCGCAAGCCUGAUCCAGCAAUGCCGCGUGAGUGAAGAAGGCCUUCGGGUUGUAAAGCUCUUUUGUCAGGGAAGAAACGGCUGUGGCUAAUAUCCACGGCUAAUGACGGUACCUGAAGAAUAAGCACCGGCUAACUACGUGCCAGCAGCCGCGGUAAUACGUAGGGUGCAAGCGUUAAUCGGAAUUACUGGGCGUAAAGCGUGCGCAGGCGGUUUUGUAAGUCUGUCGUGAAAUCCCCGGGCUCAACCUGGGAAUUGCGAUGGAGACUGCAAAGCUAGAAUCUGGCAGAGGGGGGGUAGAAUUCCACGUGUAGCAGUGAAAUGCGUAGAGAUGUGGAGGAACACGAUGGCGAAGNNNNCCCCUGGGUCAAGAUUGACGCUCAUGCACGAAAGCGUGGGGAGUAAACAGGAUUAGAUACCCUGGUAGUCCACGCCCUAAACGAUGUCUACUAGUUGUCGGGUUUUAAUUAACUUGGUAACGCAGCUAACGCGUGAAGUAGACCGCCUGGGGAGUACGGUCGCAAGAUUAAAACUCAAAGGAAUUGACGGGGACCCGCACAAGCGGUGGAUGAUGUGGAUUAAUUCGAUGCAACGCGAAAAACCUUACCUACCCUUGACAUGUCAGGAAGACCGGAGAGAUUUGGUUGUGCCCGAAAGGGAACCUGAACACAGGUGCUGCAUGGCUGUCGUCAGCUCGUGUCGUGAGAUGUUGGGUUAAGUCCCGCAACGAGCGCAACCCUUGUCAUUAGUUGCUACGCAAGAGCACUCUAAUGAGACUGCCGGUGACAAACCGGAGGAAGGUGGGGAUGACGUCAAGUCCUCAUGGCCCUUAUGGGUAGGGCUUCACACGUCAUACAAUGGUACAUACAGAGGGCCGCCAACCCGCGAGGGGGAGCUAAUCCCAGAAAGUGUAUCGUAGUCCGGAUCGUAGUCUGCAACUCGACUACGUGAAGUUGGAAUCGCUAGUAAUCGCGGAUCAGCAUGCCGCGGUGAAUACGUUCCCGGGUCUUGUACACACCGCCCGUCACACCAUGGGAGCGGGUUUUACCAGAAGUAGGUAGCUUAACCGCAAGGAGGGCGCUUACC